Molecule: ribosomal RNA, 784 nt
Filed under: Chloroflexota bacterium
Lineage: Bacteria; Bacillati; Chloroflexota
Description: bacterial SSU rRNA
Rfam family: Bacterial small subunit ribosomal RNA
Source: RNAcentral
ACAACGGAGAGUUUGAUCCUGGCUCAGAAUGAACGCUGGCGGCGUGGAUUAGGCAUGCAAGUCGAACGCGAAAGGGUCCCUUCGGGGACCUGAGUAGAGUGGCGAACUGGUGAGUAACGCUUGGGGAACCUGCCCUUGAGUGGGGAACACGUCCGAAAGACGUAAAUUCCGCAUGACGUCUCCUGCCCGCAUGAGUGGGAGACCAAAGGUGCCCUCUGACACAAGGUGCCGCUUAAGGAUGGCCCCGAGUCCUAUUAGCUAGUUGGUAGGGUAACGGCCUACCAAGGCUAUGAUGGGUAGCUGGCCUGAGAGGGUGGUCAGCCACACUGGGACUGAGAUACGGCCCAGACUCCUAAGGGAGGCAGCAGUCGAGAGGCUUCGGCAAUGGGCGCAAGCCCGACCGAGCGACGCCGCGUGGGCGAUGAAGGCCUUCGGGUCGUAAAGCCCUGUCACAGGGGGGAGAACCGCACCCAGCUGAAUAGGCUGGGUGCCUGACGUUGCCCCUGGAGAAAGACCCGGCUAACUCCGUGCCAGCAGCCGCGGUAAUACGGAGGGGUCAAGCGUUAUUCGGAUUUACUGGGCGUAAAGGGCGCGUAGGCGGGAUCGCGGGUCGGCCGUGAAAUCCACCGGCUCAACCGGUGAACUGCGGUCGAAACUGCGAUUCUUGAGCUUGGUAGAGGAAGGCGGAAUUCCUGGUGUAGCGGUGGAAUGCGUAGAUAUCAGGAAGAACACCGGUAGCGAAGGCGGCCUUCUGGGCCAUGGCUGACGCUGAGGCGCGAAAGCU